Molecule: ribosomal RNA, 468 nt
Filed under: uncultured bacterium
Lineage: Bacteria
Description: partial 16S ribosomal RNA
Rfam family: Bacterial small subunit ribosomal RNA
Source: RNAcentral
GACGAACGCUGGCGGCGUGCUUAACACAUGCAAGUCGAACGGAAAGGCCCUGCUUUUGUGGGGUGCUCGUGUGGCGAACGGGUGAGUAACACGUGAGUAACCUGCCCUUGACUUUGGGAUAACUUCAGGAAACUGGGGCUAAUACCGGAUAGGAGCUCCUGCUGCAUGGUGGGGGUUGGAAAGUUUCGGCGGUUGGGGAUGGACUCGCGGCUUAUCAGCUUGUUGGUGUGGUAGGGGCUUACCAAGGAUUUGAAGGGUAGCCGGCCUGAGAGGGUGACCGGCCACAAUGGGACUGAGGUACGGCCCAGACUCCUACGGGAGGCAGCAGUGGGGAAUAUUGCACAGUGGGCGGAAGCCUGAUGCAGCAACGCCGCGUGCGGGAUGACGGCCUUCGGGUUGUAAACCGCUUUCGCCUGUGACGAAGCGUGAGUGACGGUAAUGGGUAAAGAAGCACCGGCUAACUACGUG